UUUUGUUCCUUCCCCAAAGACGCGUGAGAGAGAGAGACUCUCUAUAUUCUAAAUUCUUCUUUGCCCUAAAAUUUCUUAAUUCAAUCUCUCCCUCUUCUCUCUAAAAACCCUAAUUCUUCUAUUUCUUCUUCUGAAUCAAAACCUGUUGAGGAGGAGAGUAAUCAAUCUAGGAAUAUGGAUGCUCUAAGGAAACAGUUAGAUGUGUUGAUGGGAGCAAAUAGGAAUGGAGAUGUGACCGAAGUCAAUCGAAAGUAUUACGAUAGAGAUGUCUGUCGUCUCUUCCUAGUUGGUUUAUGCCCUCAUGAACUCUUCCAAUUAACGAAAAUGGAUAUGGGUGCGUGUUCGAAGGUGCAUUCAUUGCAGUUGAGGAAAGAAUAUGAAGAAGCCAAAGCAAGUGGUAGUCAUAGUUAUGAAAGAGAACUGGAGGAUGUCAUAGAUAGGCUUAUCGUUGAGUGUGAUCGGAAAAUUACAAGAGCUCUUAAGCGCUUGGAGGAAGAUGAUGCUAAAGCUGCUAUUGCCAUCUCUGUGUCUGAGGUUACCCAGUCACCCGAGGUGCUUGAUUUAUCAAAACAAAUUGCGCAGAAGUUAAAAGAAGUUGAUAAACUUGAUCUUGAAGGUUUGGCUGAUAGUAAGAUUCGUGCUAUGGAAUCGGUGGAAGAACUUAGAACAAAGAGGGCAGACAAACAGGCAAUGCUUCUUCUCGACGCCUUCAAUAAGGACAGAGCUUCUUUACAGCAGCCGCUUCCAGCUCCUCCACUUUUGGCUCCAUUGCCGAUGCUUGCUCCGCCAGAUCAUCGAACUCAAGAGAUGAUCAAUGAGAAGUUGAAGAAGGCAGAAGAUCUUGGUGAGCUUGGCAUGGUGGAUGAGGCACAAAAAGCACUAGAGGAGGCUGAAGCUCUGAAGAAGUUAGGUGCAAGGCUGGAGCCACUACCGGACUCCUCUAAAUAUACUGCUGCUGAUGUUCGCAUUACUGAUCAGAAGCUACGUGUAUGUGAUAUUUGUGGAGCAUUUUUGAGCGUGUACGACAGUGACCGCCGUUUGGCUGAUCAUUUUGGAGGAAAGCUUCAUUUGGGUUAUAUGCAGAUCCGGGAGAAGUUAGCAGAGCUUCAGUCAACAAGGGGCCAUCUUCAGAGUAAAAUUAUUAAACGUUGGGCUAAGGCGAAUCUGUAUGUUGUUACCUCUUAUGUCUUCUGGCUCUUUUUUUGUAAGAAUUCUUUAUAUUUCAUUUUUCUGGGUCGUUCCAACUUUUCUUAACAUUCUUCCAUAAAAUAGUGUUUGUAUGUUUGUGGUGGUUUGUUGGGGAAAGGUGUUUAAGAAGGGUACAGUAUUCUUCAAACACUGAACAAUUGCAGGUGCACUAUGUUUGUAAGUUUUCCUUGAUUGGUACGAGGGGUUAAUAACUGUUAGGGUUCAAGAGUAUUUCUGCGUCUCCUUUCUUGCGGAAUUUCAUAGGAAGACAGAAAUAAGAUUCGGAAGGUAGUAGAUCGAUCUGAAGAUGAUAGAAGAUCUAAAGAACGAAGCGUGGACCGCGACAGAGCAACGAGCAGGGAUCGUAGGGUAAGUAGGGACGACAGAGGUGAUACCCGCGAUCGAGGAAGAGAUUAUGACCGUAGGAACAGAGAUCAUGACCGGGAUCGUAACAGGGAACGAGAGAGAGAAUCCGACCGUUCCCGGAAUCAUGAUUCCAGGAGUCGCAGAAGAUCACGAUCCCGGUCGAGGGAUCGUUCUUCAAGGGAUCAUGGCCGCCAUAGCAGCAGGCGGUACGAUCGCUACUGAUUGGUGUUGAAGUUACAAGAACCAUGAGGAUAAGGCUGAAGGAAAGUUCUGGAUGUUUAAGUUUUUUAAUGUACCAAGAAUGAUGUCCUGUUUUAAUUUUUAGAUCUCGAUAGUGGAUUUAAGUAAUGCCUGCAAUGAUGGCAUCUUAAUCCAUCAUCAAAUUUUACUUUCUAUUUUCAAGAGAUUAUUUUUAGCUCGUAGAUCGGUUGCUUUGAUAGAGGAUUCAGCUAUUUUAACUUGUCAAGGAUUAUUCCUAAUUUGUGUGAA
This is an RNA transcript of Papaver somniferum (opium poppy), 2043 nucleotides long. It is a transcript of the gene named putative RNA-binding protein Luc7-like 2, with no coding region annotated. Lineage: Eukaryota; Viridiplantae; Streptophyta; Magnoliopsida; Ranunculales; Papaveraceae. The record is from RefSeq and is a predicted model, not a curated record. The transcript has 14 exons.